UCCGUAGGCGGGCCAUUAAGUCAGAGGUGAAAGUCUGCGGCUCAACCGUAGAAUUGCCUUUGAUACUGGUGGUCUUGAGUUAUGGUGAAGUGGCUGGAAUAUGUAGUGUAGCGGUGAAAUGCAUAGAUAUUACAUAGAACACCGAUUGCGAAGGCAGGUCACUAACCAUAUACUGACGCUGAUGGACGAAAGCGUGGGGAGCGAACAGGAUUAGAUACCCUGGUAGUCC
This 229-nucleotide ribosomal RNA is filed under the name uncultured bacterium. RNAcentral's name for it is "partial 16S ribosomal RNA". It matches the Rfam family "Bacterial small subunit ribosomal RNA", at positions 568 to 796 of the family's 1533-position model. The record is from RNAcentral.